UACGGGGGGGGCAAGCGUUGUUCGGAAUUACUGGGCGUAAAGGGCUCGUAGGCGGCCAACUAAGUCCGACGUGAAAUCCCCAGGCUUAACCUGGGAACUGCGUCGGAUACUGGUUGGCUUGAAUCCGGGAGAGGGAUGCGGAAUUCCAGGUGUAGCGGUGAAAUGCGUAGAUAUCCGGAGGAAUACCAAAGGCGAAGGCAGUGUCCUGGGGAGUGUCUGACGCUCAGGCGCGAAAGCUAGGGGAGCGAACAGG
This 253-nucleotide ribosomal RNA is filed under the name uncultured bacterium. Its description in RNAcentral is "partial 16S ribosomal RNA". It matches the Rfam family "Bacterial small subunit ribosomal RNA", at positions 524 to 776 of the family's 1533-position model. The record is from RNAcentral.